Monodelphis domestica (gray short-tailed opossum) is the source of this 2324-nucleotide long non-coding RNA. RefSeq lists it as uncharacterized. The record is from RefSeq and is a predicted model, not a curated record. NCBI's taxonomy places the organism in Eukaryota, Metazoa, Chordata, Mammalia, Didelphimorphia, Didelphidae.
CUACUGUGAUGUCAUGACCUCUGAGUACUCAGAAAUUCUUGGAUAUUCUAAGAGCUAUCCACCACUCCCCAAUCCAAGCCUAAUAAUACACAUUAUUCUGUCUUAAUGUAAUGUAGCUAUUCUGAUGUAAGGAGUGGUGCUAGACUCUGUAUAUCCAAACCCUAAAGCUACUGGUUUUUAAACAGACAUCUAUUUCUGAGUUGGGGCUCAAGGGCUUAGGAAAAGAGAAAACUCUUAAUUAGAUUUCCUAAUUCCUUGGGGGGGGGGGUAGAAGGAAAGGUAGAUGAGACAGAGAAAGAGAGAGGCAUUGAGACAGACAGACAGAUGGAGGAGAAAGUAAGGGGGGAGAGACACCUUGACAGAUGGCAGUAUAACAAAUACCAACAAUGAGACUAGAGGUCUGAGUUUGAAUUGUAGUUUUGCCAUGAUUUCCCUAUGACCCUGAGUAAUUCAAGACACAUUUGUUAAACACCUACUACUAAGAACCAGUCCCAGGAUGCAAAGCCAAGGAGACACAAAGAUGAGUUUAUUAUGGGAACAUCAAGAAGGACAUCACAAGUAAUGGACAUCACAAAUUAAUGGAAACAAAGGGGCAGCUAGGUAGCUGACAGAAUGCCAGUCCUGGAGUCAGAGGUCCUGGAUUCAAAGCUGGCCUCAGACACUUCCUACCUGUGUGACCCUGGCCAAGCAUUUUAACCCUGAUUGCUUAGCUCUUGCCACUUUUCUUUCUAAGACAGAAGGUCUUGCACAAUCUUCCUAAGCCCAGGCAGAUCUAUGAUUUCACUGGAUUCUCAAAACAGCCUUGUGAGGAAGACGCAGUGAGGAUUAUUAUCCCUAAUUGACAAAUGAAGAACCUGAGGCUCUGAGAGAUGAAGUGCCCAGUACAAAUGAGGCUGGAAAUGCCCAUCCAAUUAUGAACAUAAUCCCUCCAAAAUUGAUAUUUAAAUGUUCUCAGUGUAAGAAAUGACACAUGCACUAUACCACGGAUGAGCGAAACGAGGAGGAAACAGACUUAGAGAGGGGAAGAAACUUGUCUAAGAGCACCCAAGGUAUGAAGUAGAAGACCCAAGAUUCCAACUCUGGUCUUCUGCAUGUCUAGGAUCCAGUGCCCUUUCCAUCAUAGCCUGUGGACACUCUCUGCAUGAGUGUUCUUCCCACCAUGUCACUGAAAUACCACAUUUGAUAUUUGAUUCCAAGAAAGAAGUCUCAAAUUGCACUGUCCAGUAUAAAUUGAGGAAAUUGAUGACUAUAAAUACCUCUGGGAGGAAGAUGUCAGUGCAAGAAAUAAUACUUAGUGGCUCAAAUAAUGGCAAAGUCUUACACUGGAGUCAGGACUCUAUAAAUCUUUAUGGAAAAGAAUUAGACUGUGACCAGAAAUCCCAUCUCUCCGCUCCAGUGGUGGCACAUUCUGAAAAUCCAGGAGCAAAGCCUGGGCUAUGAAUGACAGAGGGCUCUAUUCUGGUGGAAACGAAGGGGCCUUAAAAACCGACACACUGAAGUCUCCUGUUAUAAAAAUUACUCCUAUUUGUUCAUUAACAAAGCUGUUCCUUAGCUCAUCCCUGCCAUAACCUGCUCUAUUCAAAACCAUAUGGGAAAGGACAUUAAAUAACCAGCGCAAACCAUAGGCUUGUGGUCUUAGUGUUCUGCACUGCACAGCCCUAUUCAUCCUGCCCCCUCCCUUGUUUAAUCUAUCAUUAAGAUGCAGUGACCCUACACUAAAUUUAAAACAGAUCCUUCCUUCCUCCCAUGCCUAAAUUCACAUACUUCUCGAGAUGGGGAUGCCCUCGAGUAUUAGCGACUCGACAGGGUUUCUCUAAUCUUGCCUCUCAACUAUGUCACGCUGGAGAGCCAAGAAAUUGCUGUUUUACAUCUUCACGCCAAAGGUUUCCAUAAUAAUAAUUUUUUAAAAGACUAUAUAAUUUACUUAAUAAGAUAAAGGGGCAAAAUCUCCACUUAACAAGUAUUUGACUGGGCAUAGUCAACAUGGUCUGUGUUGACACUGCCAUUCGUAGUCCCUGUUGUAAAAAAUUAACACUCUUGUAUUAUUUCAUCCCCAUUGCUGGCCAUGGGCCCCAGAAUUUUAAAUCAUGAUCCUAUUGUCAAACGUUGGAUGAUCUUAAUUAAGGAAAAAAUGUCACAGGCAUAUCAAUCAAUGAAAAGGGAACAUUUUUACCUUCAGCAUGUUCUUUAUUAAAAAUUAUCUGUGAAUUUGAAAGAUUGCCCAUAUUAGGUUUUGUUUGGUUUUGUUUGCAUUUCUAAACUAUAUGCCAGUUGGGAGUGAACAAAAUUCCAGGCCAAUGUAAGUGAUGAUACACAAAGAAUAA